This 484-nucleotide ribosomal RNA is filed under the name uncultured bacterium. Its description in RNAcentral is "partial 16S ribosomal RNA". It matches the Rfam family "Bacterial small subunit ribosomal RNA", at positions 29 to 507 of the family's 1533-position model. The record is from RNAcentral.
AUUGAACGCUGGCGGCAUGCUUUACACAUGCAAGUCGAACGGCAGCGCGGGCUUCGGCCUGGCGGCGAGUGGCGAACGGGUGAGUAAUACAUCGGAACGUGCCCAGUAGUGGGGGAUAGCUCGGCGAAAGCCGGAUUAAUACCGCAUACGACCUGAGGGUGAAAGCGGGGGAUCUUCGGACCUCGCGCUAUUGGAGCGGCCGAUGGCAGAUUAGCUAGUUGGUGGGGUAAAGGCCUACCAAGGCGACGAUCUGUAGCUGGUCUGAGAGGACGACCAGCCACCCUGGGACUGGGACACGGCCCAGACUCCUACGGGAGGCAGCAGUGGGGAAUUUUGGACAAUGGGCGAAAGCCUGAUCCAGCAAUGCCGAGUGUGUGAUGAAGGCCUUCGGGUUGUAAAGCACUUUUGGCGGGAACGAAAAGGACUGUGCCAAUACCACGGUUCGAUGACGGUACCCGCAGAAUAAGCACCGGCUAACUACGUG